UACAGAGGGUGCAAGCGUUAAUCGGAUUUACUGGGCGUAAAGCGCGCGUAGGUGGCCAAUUAAGUCAAAUAUGAAAUCCCCGAGCUUAACUUGGGAAUUGCAUUCGAUACUGGUUGGCUAGAGUAUGGGAGAGGAUGGUAGAAUUCCAGGUGUAGCGGUGAAAUGCGUAGAGAUCUGGAGGAAUACCGAUGGCGAAGGCAGCCAUCUGGCCUAAUACUGACACUGAGGUGCGAAAGCAUGGGGAGCAAACAGG
Molecule: ribosomal RNA, 253 nt
Filed under: uncultured bacterium
Lineage: Bacteria
Description: partial 16S ribosomal RNA
Rfam family: Bacterial small subunit ribosomal RNA
Source: RNAcentral